Caenorhabditis elegans is the source of this 115-nucleotide non-coding RNA. The record is from Ensembl. NCBI's taxonomy places the organism in Eukaryota, Metazoa, Nematoda, Chromadorea, Rhabditida, Rhabditidae.
AAGACCGUCAGUUGUUGCCGAGAAACUUCCAUUCUUCCGUGUUUUUGGUUCAUGUUUACCAGUCACCUGAUCUUAUCGCAUUAGUCUUAUGACAUUCUGCACGUUGUUUUCAACA